GGAGAAGUGGCCGAGUGGUUUAAGGCAGCGGUCUUGAAAACCGUCGUGGGGAAACUCACCGUGGGUUCGAAUCCUACCUUCUCCG
This 85-nucleotide transfer RNA is filed under the name Leptospira inadai serovar Lyme. RNAcentral describes it as "tRNA-Ser". It matches the Rfam family "tRNA". Rfam says of the family: Transfer RNA (tRNA) molecules are approximately 80 nucleotides in length. Their secondary structure includes four short double-helical elements and three loops (D, anti-codon, and T loops). Further hydrogen bonds mediate the characteristic L-shaped molecular structure. tRNAs have two regions of fundamental functional importance: the anti-codon, which is responsible for specific mRNA codon recognition, and the 3' end, to which the tRNAs corresponding amino acid is attached (by aminoacyl-tRNA synthetases). tRNAs cope with the degeneracy of the genetic code in two manners: having more than one tRNA (with a specific anti-codon) for a particular amino acid; and 'wobble' base-pairing, i.e. permitting non-standard base-pairing at the 3rd anti-codon position. The record is from RNAcentral. RNAcentral also lists the same sequence under 6 other names. Lineage: Bacteria; Pseudomonadati; Spirochaetota; Leptospiria; Leptospirales; Leptospiraceae.